Molecule: ribosomal RNA, 210 nt
Filed under: Clonostachys sp.
Lineage: Eukaryota; Fungi; Ascomycota; Sordariomycetes; Hypocreales; Bionectriaceae
Description: partial large subunit ribosomal RNA
Source: RNAcentral
AAGCGUUCAUGACCAGACUUGGGCAGGUUGAUCAUCCGUGGUUCUCCGCGGUGCACUCUGCCUGCCCAGGCCAGCAUCAGUUUUCGCCGGGGGAUAAAGGCUUCGGGAAUGUGGCUCUCUCCGGGGAGUGUUAUAGCCCGUUGCGUAAUACCCUGGCGGGGACUGAGGUUCGCGCAUCUGCAAGGAUGCUGGCGUAAUGGUCAUCAACGA